Molecule: ribosomal RNA, 423 nt
Filed under: uncultured bacterium
Lineage: Bacteria
Description: bacterial SSU rRNA
Rfam family: Bacterial small subunit ribosomal RNA
Source: RNAcentral
AAGACCUUGCGCUUUUGGAGCGGCCGAUGCCUGAUUAGCUUGUUGGUAAGGUAAAGGCUUACCAAGGCUUCGAUCAGUAGCUGGUCUGGGAGGACGGCCAGCCACACUGGGACUGAGACACGGCCCAGACUCCUACGGGAGGCAGCAGUGGGGAAUUUUGGACAAUGGGGGAAACCCUGAUCCAGCCAUGCCGCGUGAGUGAAGAAGGCCUUCGGGUUGUAAAGCUCUUUCAGCCGGAACGAAACGGUUACGGAUAAUACCCGUGACUACUGACGGUACCGGAAGAAGAAGCACCGGCUAACUACGUGCCAGCAGCCGCGGUAAUACGUAGGGUGCGAGCGUUAAUCGGAAUUACUGGGCGUAAAGCGUGCGCAGGUGGUUUUGUAAGUCAGAUGUGAAAGCCCCGGGCUCAACCUGGGAACU